This 322-nucleotide ribosomal RNA is filed under the name uncultured eukaryote. Its description in RNAcentral is "partial 18S ribosomal RNA". It matches the Rfam family "Eukaryotic small subunit ribosomal RNA", at positions 1470 to 1796 of the family's 1831-position model. The record is from RNAcentral.
CCCUUAGAUGUUCUGGGCCGCACGCGUGCUACACUGAGUGGAUCAGCGGGUCAGGUUGCGCGAAAGUGUUUCCUAAUCUUUAAAUCCGCUCGUGAUGGGGAUUGACGGUUGCAAUUUUCCGUCAUGAACGAGGAAUACCUUGUAAGCGCGGGUCAUCAUCCCGCGCUGAAUACGUCCCUGCCCUUUGUACACACCGCCCGUCGCUCCUACCGAUUGAGUGGCCCGGUGAGGCUUUGGGAUCUGGGCGGAAAGAGCGUUUCGCUGUUUCUGCCCGGAAAACUCAGUCGAACCUUAUCAUUUAGAGGAAGGAGAAGUCGUAACA